GUAGGUGGCAAGCGUUGUCCGGAAUUAUUGGGCGUAAAGCGCGCGCAGGUGGUUCUUUAAGUCUGAUGUGAAAGCCCCCGGGCUCAACCGGGGAGGGUCAUUGGAAACUGGGGAGCUUGAGUGCAGGAGAGGAAAGUGGAAUUCCACGUGUAGCGGUGAAAUGCGUAGAUAUGUGGAGGAACACCAGUGGCGAAGGCGACUUUCUGGCCUGUAACUGACACUGAGGCGCGAAAGCGUGGGGAGCAAACAGGAUUAGAUACCCUGGUAGUCCACGCCGUAAACGAUGAGUGCUAAGUGUUGGGGGGUUUCCGCCCCUCAGUGCUGCAGCUAACGCAUUAAGCACUCCGCCUGGGGAGUACGGUCGCAAGACUG
Molecule: ribosomal RNA, 372 nt
Filed under: uncultured organism
Description: partial 16S ribosomal RNA
Rfam family: Bacterial small subunit ribosomal RNA
Source: RNAcentral